This 1008-nucleotide ribosomal RNA is filed under the name Triticum aestivum (bread wheat). Its description in RNAcentral is "partial small subunit ribosomal RNA". Lineage: Eukaryota; Viridiplantae; Streptophyta; Magnoliopsida; Poales; Poaceae. The record is from RNAcentral.
AUGGCAUUGGACGUGCUCGUCAGGCUGCUGAUCCUCGCGGCCGUCGCGAGCGCCAUGCCGGUGCCGGGCGCCGCGGAUCCCGCCGGCGCCGGGCUCGCCAUCGGGUUCUACGACAAGAGGUGCCCGAAAGCGGAGGAGCUGGUGCUCGAGGAGAUGCGGGACAUCGUCCACGAGGACAGGACCCUCGGCCCGGCGCUGCUGCGGCUUCUCUUCCACGACUGCUUCGUCAGGGGGUGUGACGGGUCGAUCAUGCUGAAAUCGAGGAGCAAGAAGGGGGAGAGGGACGCCAAGCCCAUGAGCUACAGCCUCCGCGGCUUCGACGAGGUCGAGAGGAUCAAGGCCAAGCUGGAGGACGAGUGCCCGCUGACCGUGUCGUGCGCAGACAUCAUCAUCAUGGCCGCGCGGGACGCCGUGUACCUGACCAACGGGCCACGGUUCCCGGUGGAGACCGGACGCCGGGACGGCAAGGUGUCCUCAUGCCUCGACGCCGAGAACGACCUGGCGCCGCCGAACGCCAACAUUGUGGACCUGAAGACCUACUUCAGCGUGAAGAACCUGUCGUGGAAGGACCUCGUCGUCUUGUCAGGGAGCCACACGAUCGGGAGGGCGCAGUGCAACGCGUUCGCGCCGGACCGGCUCUACAACAACAGCGGCAAAGGGGUGCAGGACCCGACGCUGGACAAGGCGUACGCUCCGGAGCUGCGGGAGAGGUGCGAGCCAGGCAACGAGAAAGACGAGACGCCCGUGGACAUGGACCCCAAGAGCCCCUACGAGUUCGACCUCAGCUACUACCGGGACGUGCUCAGCAACAGGACCCUGUUCGUCUCCGACCAGGCGCUGCUCGACGACAAGUUGACGAGGGACUACGUGGCGAGGAUGGCGGCCGCCGAGUCGACGGAGGAGUACUUCCAUGACUACGCCACCGCCAUGAUCAACAUGGGCAGGAUGGAGGUGCUCACCGGCGACAACGGGGAGAUCAGGAAAAUCUGCAGCGCGUACGUUCACUAA